Molecule: ribosomal RNA, 253 nt
Filed under: uncultured bacterium
Lineage: Bacteria
Description: partial 16S ribosomal RNA
Rfam family: Bacterial small subunit ribosomal RNA
Source: RNAcentral
UACGUAGGUGGCAAGCGUUGUCCGGAUUUACUGGGCGUAAAGAGCGCGCAGGCGGUCGGAUAAGUCGAAUGUGAAAGCCCCCGGCUCAACUGGGGAGGGUCAUUCGAUACUGUUCGACUCGAAGGCAGGAGAGGGAAGUGGAAUUCCCGGUGUAGUGGUGAAAUGCGCAGAUAUCGGGAGGAACACCUAUGGCGAAGGCAGCUCGCUGGGACGUUACUGACGCUGAGACGCGAAAGCGUGGGGAGCAAACAGG